UGAGGGAUAUUGGGCAAUGCCCGCAAGGGUGACCCAGCAACGCCGCGUGGAGGAUGAAUGUCGUAAGAUUGUAAACUCCUGUUAGAGGGGAAGAAUAGUACCGGUUGGACCGGUAUAUGACUGUACCCUCAGAGAAAGCCCCGGCUAACUACGUGCCAGCAGCCGCGGUAAUACGUAGGGGGCAAGCGUUGUCCGGAUUUACUGGGUGUAAAGGGCGCGCAGGCGGGAUAAAAAGUCAGUGGUGAAAUCCUACAGCUUAACUGUAGAACUGCCUUUGAUACUUUUAUUCUUGAGUUCGGGAGAGAGAGACGGAAUUCCUGGUGUAGUGGUGAAAUACGUAGAUAUCUGGAAGAACACCAGUUGCGAAGGCGGUCUCUUGGUCCGACACUGACGCUGAGGCGCGAAAGCGUGGGGAGCAAACA
This 422-nucleotide ribosomal RNA is filed under the name uncultured bacterium. Its description in RNAcentral is "bacterial SSU rRNA". It matches the Rfam family "Bacterial small subunit ribosomal RNA", at positions 355 to 774 of the family's 1533-position model. The record is from RNAcentral.